CUAUCAACAGGGCUGAAAAACAGUAGCUGGUGUCAAUAAUAAGCCAUGAACACACAAACCAGGUUACGCUGCGGAAAAAGCGUUCUGGAUCUCAAUGGCUUACGAGGUUGUCUCCACAUAUUUACAUGCUAUGUCCAUCGCGAGUGAGCUAUGGCUCUGCUUCACGGCGUCCUGCCUUGGGAUUCGGGCUGACAGAGAAGCUUCUAUCUGGAACACUGGAGCAGAGGGAAAAGAGAGCUUGGCAAAGCCCAAACUGGCUCUUAGAGCUGGACGUGACACACAUUACUUGUCACCUUCCAUUGGCCAAAUCAGGUCGCAUGGCCAAGCCCAACAUGAUUAGGAAGAGAAACUCUUACUCUCCCCUAAGCAGACGCACGGUCACACUUGGAGGGAGAGCUUCAGGUGUACUUGCUGGGAGCCAGUGUGGAAGGUCGCAGGAGAAGACCCUUGUCAUAGCAAGACAACCUGCUGUGAAAGUUGGAGAGCACCAAGACUGCAGCCUGGAGACCAGAUUCGGACACACCUCUGACAGUGCUGGUCUUCCGGGUUGAGAAUCCCAGUAUCUUCUGGGCGUCUGCACCAGCCAGAAGGAACUGGGUGAGUUUUCCUUUUAAACUAGGCAUUCCAAAAAUGAUACCUUUUGUGUUCAAAUAAAUAUAUUUAUUUAUACA
This 671-nucleotide long non-coding RNA is filed under the name Vulpes vulpes (red fox). RNAcentral describes it as "lncRNA (ENSVVUG00000005074.1)". The record is from RNAcentral. Lineage: Eukaryota; Metazoa; Chordata; Mammalia; Carnivora; Canidae.